AAUCAACGCUGGCGGCGUGCCUCAGACAUGCAAGUCGAACGCGAAAGUUCCCUUCGGGGGGCGAGUAGAGUGGCGCACGGGUGAGUAACACGUAGGUAAUCUACCUUUGGGUGGGGAAUAACAGCCGGAAACGGCUGCUAAUACCGCAUAAUGCAGCGGCUCGACAUCGAGACAGUUGUUAAAGCGGGGGAUCGCAAGACCUCGCGCCUAAAGAGGAGCCUGCGGCGGAUUAGCUUGUUGGUGAGGUAAUGGCUCACCAAGGCAUCGAUCCGUAGCCGGCCUGAGAGGGCGGUCGGCCACACUGACACUGACAUACGGGUCAGACUCCUACGGGAGGCAGCAGUCGGGAAUUUU
RNAcentral lists this ribosomal RNA (354 nucleotides) under uncultured bacterium. RNAcentral describes it as "bacterial SSU rRNA". It matches the Rfam family "Bacterial small subunit ribosomal RNA", at positions 32 to 365 of the family's 1533-position model. The record is from RNAcentral.